UUCGGACUGUAGUCUGCAACCCGACUACACGAAGCCGGAAUCGCUAGUAAUCGCGAAUCAGAAUGUCGCGGUGAAUACGUUCCCGGGUCUUGUACACACCGCCCGUCACACCAUGGGAGUCGGAAAUGCCCGAAGUCAGUGACCCAACCGCAAGGAGGGAGCUGCCGAAGGCAGGUCCGGUAACUGGGGUGAAGUCGUAACAAGGUAAC
RNAcentral lists this ribosomal RNA (209 nucleotides) under uncultured bacterium. Its description in RNAcentral is "partial 16S ribosomal RNA". It matches the Rfam family "Bacterial small subunit ribosomal RNA", at positions 1292 to 1500 of the family's 1533-position model. The record is from RNAcentral.